Molecule: ribosomal RNA, 468 nt
Filed under: uncultured bacterium
Lineage: Bacteria
Description: partial 16S ribosomal RNA
Rfam family: Bacterial small subunit ribosomal RNA
Source: RNAcentral
GACGAACGCUGGCGGCGUGCUUAACACAUGCAAGUCGAACGGAAAGGCCCUGCUUUUGUGGGGUGCUCGAGUGGCGAACGGGUGAGUAACACGUGAGUAACCUGCCCUUGACUUUGGGAUAACUUCAGGAAACUGGGGCUACUACCGUAUAGGAGCUCCUGCUGCAUGGUGGGGGUUGGAACGUUUCGGCGGUUGGGGAUGGACGCGCGGCUUAUCAGCUUGUUGGUGGGGUAGUGGCUUACCAAGGCUUUGACGGGUAGCCGGCCUGUGAGGGUGACCGGCCACAUUGGGACUGAGAGACGGCCCAGACGCCUACGGGAGGCAGCAGUGGGGAAUAUUGCACAAUGGGCGGAAGCCUGAUGCAGCAACGCCGCGUGCGGGAUGACGGCCUUCGGGUUGUAAACCGCUGUCGCCUGUGACGAAGCGUGAGUGACGGUAAUGGGUAAAGAAGCACCGGCUAACUACGUG